Molecule: long non-coding RNA, 308 nt
Organism: Dendronephthya gigantea
Lineage: Eukaryota; Metazoa; Cnidaria; Anthozoa; Malacalcyonacea; Nephtheidae
Exons: 3
Source: RefSeq, a predicted model, not a curated record
AGACAGGUUCAACAACAGAUAUAAAGCACAAGAUGAUAAGAAGCACACCCAAGAUUGGAGUUACCUGAAACACAUCAAGGAUUUCAAAAGAAAACAAAGCCAACAUUUGUGUUCUUCUUCCAGGGACAAAAAAGUCAGCAAUGCAGUUUGUUUGAAUUGUUUAAAUUUGUAUUCAGUCGGUUACCAUGAAUGAUGAAGAAAGAAAUGCCUAAAAAUACGUUUGUUGGUUCUUUGGCAUAAGUGAAAAUUUUGAACUGAUUUCAUGAAGAGUAAAGUGCUAGCAACUUUCCUUACAUCCAAAAUAUAAG